GUGACCUGCGGAGGGAUCAUUACAAGAACGCCCGGGCUUCGGCCUGGUUAUUCAUAACCCUUUGUUGUCCGACUCUGUUGCCUCCGGGGCGACCCUGCCUUCGGGCGGGGGCUCCGGGUGGACACUUCAAACUCUUGCGUAACUUUGCAGUCUGAGUAAACUUAAUUAAUAAAUUAAAACUUUUAACAACGGAUCUCUUGGUUCUGGCAUCGAUGAAGAACGCAGCGAAAUGCGAUAAGUAAUGUGAAUUGCAGAAUUCAGUGAAUCAUCGAAUCUUUGAACGCACAUUGCGCCCCCUGGUAUUCCGGGGGGCAUGCCUGUUCGAGCGUCAUUUCACCACUCAAGCCUCGCUUGGUAUUGGGCAACGCGGUCCGCCGCGUGCCUCAAAUCGUCCGGCUGGGUCUUCUGUCCCCUAAGCGUUGUGGAAACUAUUCGCUAAAGGGUGUUCGGGAGGCUACGCCGUAAAACAACCCCAUUUCUAAGGUUGACCUCGGAUCAGGUAGGGAUACCCGCUGAACUUAAGCAUAUCAAUAAGCGGAGGAAAAGAAACCAACAGGGAUUGCUCUAGUAACGGCGAGUGAAGCAGCAAUAGCUCAAAUUUGAAAUCUGGCGUCUUCGACGUCCGAGUUGUAAUUUGUAGAGGAUGCUUCUGAGUGGCCACCGACCUAAGUUCCUUGGAACAGGACGUCAUAGAGGGUGAGAAUCCCGUAUGCGGUCGGAAAGGCGCUCUAUACGUAGCUCCUUCGACGA
RNAcentral lists this ribosomal RNA (750 nucleotides) under fungal endophyte. RNAcentral describes it as "eukaryotic LSU rRNA". The stretch from base 486 to 750 matches the Rfam family "Eukaryotic large subunit ribosomal RNA", at positions 1 to 263 of the family's 3401-position model. Lineage: Eukaryota; Fungi. The record is from RNAcentral.